AUGCUUCUCCUAAAGAUUAAGCCAUGCAUGUCGUGAAUAUGAGGUGACGGUCUCUCUGAAUCUGCGAACGGCUCCGCAAACCAGUUGCAAUACCUAGCACGCUCAGCCUUGGGGCCUCGGCUCCUUGGCACCGAUACGGAUAUCCCUGGUAAUUCUGGGGCUAAUACAUGGCUAACCCCAACGCGUACGGCCCCACGGGGGCGCUUCACGGCGCCCUAUCCAACGUGCGGUGACCUGCGCGGGGCGCGUGAAAUCAUACCAAGCUCGGGCAAAAAUCAUUCAGUCGGGACAGAACGCACGCCCAGACCUGCACGCUUCACGGCAACUGGGGAAACUCACGACGGCGGCGGGCCCGGCUUCGGCCUGGGCUUUGACCGUCCUGACGGGGAUCCUCGGGCAGGCAGGUGCCACGGCUUCUGACCUAUCAACUAGAAUGCGGUAAAAUGGGCUGCAAUGGUCGCAACGGGUACAGAGGAUUAGGGUUCGAUCCUGGAGAGUGGGCCUGAGAGAUUGCUCCUACUUCUAAGGAAGGCAGCAGGCGCGCAAAGUUCCCAGUGGACACCAGUCCGAGGGCGUUAGGGGAAAUAUGAAUGGUCAUCAUUAUGGUGGCCAASUCAAA
Molecule: ribosomal RNA, 619 nt
Filed under: Stemonitis fusca
Lineage: Eukaryota; Evosea; Eumycetozoa; Stemonitida; Stemonitidae
Description: SSU rRNA
Source: RNAcentral